CGAAAGCCUGACGGAGCAACGCCGCGUGGGGGAAGAAGGUUCUUGGAUUGUAAACCCCUUUUCUCAGGGAAGAAGUUCUGACGGUACCUGAGGAAUCAGCCUCGGCUAACUCCGUGCCAGCAGCCGCGGUAAUACGGAGGAGGCAAGCGUUAUCCGGAAUUACUGGGCGUAAAGCGUUCGUAGGGGGCUCGUCAAGUCUGCUGUCAAAGACCGGAGCUCAACUCCGGGCAGGCAGUGGAAACUGGGGAGCUAGAGGGCGGCAGGGGCAGAAGGAAUUCCCGGUGUAGCGGUGAAAUGCGUAGAGAUUGGGAAGAACACCGGUGGCGAAAGCGCUCUACUGGGUCGCACCUGACCCUCAGGGACGAAAGCUAAGGUAGCG
Molecule: ribosomal RNA, 379 nt
Filed under: uncultured cyanobacterium
Lineage: Bacteria; Bacillati; Cyanobacteriota
Description: bacterial SSU rRNA
Rfam family: Bacterial small subunit ribosomal RNA
Source: RNAcentral